This 597-nucleotide ribosomal RNA is filed under the name Triticum aestivum (bread wheat). Its description in RNAcentral is "partial small subunit ribosomal RNA". The record is from RNAcentral. Lineage: Eukaryota; Viridiplantae; Streptophyta; Magnoliopsida; Poales; Poaceae.
AUGGGUGGCAUGGGGUUUUGAGACAUGAGAUCCUUUAAUCAGGCACUGCUUGCUAAACAAGCGUGGCGGUUGUUGGACACGCCGGGGAGCCUCUGUGCUCGCCUUCUCAAGGCCAAGUAUUAUCCAUAUGGACAUCUACCAGAUACGGUGUUCUCGGGCAAUGGCUCAUCAGUUUGGAAAGGUAUAUUACAUGGCCUUGACUUGCUCAAGAAAGGUGUAAUCUGGAGGGUGGGAAACGGGGCUGACAUAUGCACCUGGAGGGAUCGCUGGAUCCCUUGGCCAUCGUCGUAUCGCCCCAUCACUUCAAAAGGCAAUUGUUGCCUGAACAGGGUUGCUGAUUUUCUUGAUGAAAACGGGGCUUGGCGAGUGGAUCGUCUUCGUGAAUUCUUUUGGCUCGUGGACGUACAGUAUAUCACAAAGAUCAGAACUUCGCCCCGCAUGCGGAAUGAUUUCUUGUCCUGGUUUCCGGAGAAGAGCGGGACCUUCACGGUGAAGAGUGCAUACAGAUUAGCCACAUGUGAUCAUAACACUGCCUUUGCUGGUGGUUCUUCUAGUUCAGACCCUGAGGGGAAUCGCUCACUAUGGAACACGAUUUAG